GGGAGAUGGUCCACUGUCCUCACGAGUUGCUACAGAUGCCUCUUUCACUGUUCAGUCAGCGUUCCUGGGUAACUCAGUGCUUGGACACUUGGAAAACAUGCACCCUGAUAACUCAAAGGCACCUGGCUUCAGACCACCUUCCCAGCGAGUUUCUACUAGUCCAGUUGGGUUACCAUCCAUUGACCCAUCAGGCAGCUCCCCAUCUUCCUCUUCUGCUCCUCUGGCAAGUUUUUCCGGCAUACCAGGAACAAGGGUUUUCCUGCAAGGGCCAGCUCCUGUUGGGACUCCUAGUUUCAACAGACAACAUUUUUCUCCCCAUCCUUGGACAAGCGCCUCAAACUCAUGUAGGAAUCCUGGAGGAACUCUUCCCAAAGAGUUUUGAAUAAGUUAUUAAAUCAUUUAUUUCAGUUACAACACCAUGUUGUAACUUCAGUAAACUAAGUGGUAUACAGAUGCCCAAGGUUUGUUCUGUGGUCAUGUGAAAAAAUUGUCAGUCAUUUUUAGCAUAGAAAACUUGAGAAUUAUUCUUUCAAGCCAAAAAUGUUUUACAGUAGAACUUGGAUCAAGAAAAGAGGUACUAGGCUGGGUGCAGUGGCUGACACCUGUAAUCCCAGCACUUUGGGAGGCCUAGGCAAGAGGAUCGCUUGAGCCCAGCAGUUGGAGACCAGCCUGGGCAACAGCAAGACCCUGUCUCUAUUUAAAAAA
RNAcentral lists this small RNA (705 nucleotides) under Pan troglodytes (chimpanzee). RNAcentral's name for it is "retained intron". The record is from RNAcentral. Lineage: Eukaryota; Metazoa; Chordata; Mammalia; Primates; Hominidae.